AGAGUUUGAUCCUGGCUCAGGACGAACGCUGGCGGCGUGCUAAUGCAUGCAAGUCGAACGCAGCAGCUUCGGCUGGCUGCGUGGCGAACGGCUGAGGAACACGUGGGUGACCUGCCCCAGAGUGGGGGAUACCCCGUCGAAAGACGGGAUAAUCCCGCAUACGCUCUACGGAGGAAAGCCCCUACGGGCGCUCUGGGAGGGGCCUGCGGCCCAUCAGGUUGUUGGUGUGGUAACGGCGCACCAAGCCACUGACGGGUACCCGGUCUGAGAGGACGGCCGGGCAGACUGGGACUGCGACACGGCCCAGACUCCUACGGGAGGCAGCAGCAAGGAAUUUUCCCCAAUGGGCGCAAGCCUGAGGGAGCAACGCCGCGUGGAGGACGACGGCCUUCGGGUUGUAAACUCCUUUCGGGUGGGACGACUCCGACGGUACCACCAGAAGCAGCCCCGGCUAACUCUGUGCCAGCAGCCGCGGUAAGACAGAGGGGGCAAGCGUUGUCCGGAGUUACUGGGCGUAAAGGGCGCGGAGGCGGUCUGCGGCGUCGGCGCUGAAAGCGCCCCGCUUAACGGGGCGAGGCGUGCCGAUACGCGCAGACUUGAGGCGAGCAGAGGGUGGUGGAAUUCCGGGUGGAGCGGUGAAAUGCGUAGAGAUCCGGAGGAACGCCAGUGGGGAAGCCGGCCACCUGGGCUCGGCCUGACGCUGCGGCGCGACCGCGUGGGGAGCAAACCGGAUUAGAUACCCGGGUAGUCCACGCCGUAAACGAUGCCAGCUCGGCGUGUGUCACACGGUCGUGCGCUGCGUGCCUUAGCUCACGCGAGGUUAAAGCGCCUGGGGACUACGAGCGCAAGCUUGCAUGCCUGCAGGUCGACUCUAGAGUCCCCGUACCAGCCACAA
This 895-nucleotide ribosomal RNA is filed under the name uncultured bacterium. RNAcentral's name for it is "bacterial SSU rRNA". It matches the Rfam family "Bacterial small subunit ribosomal RNA", at positions 8 to 935 of the family's 1533-position model. The record is from RNAcentral.